RNAcentral lists this ribosomal RNA (663 nucleotides) under Epibryon brunneolum. RNAcentral's name for it is "Cladophialophora sp. XZL-2018a partial large subunit ribosomal RNA". It matches the Rfam family "Eukaryotic large subunit ribosomal RNA", at positions 223 to 904 of the family's 3401-position model. The record is from RNAcentral. Lineage: Eukaryota; Fungi; Ascomycota; Eurotiomycetes; Chaetothyriales; Epibryaceae.
CUUGAACCGAUUACCUCGUCCAUGUGAAACUCCUUCGACGAGUCGAGUUGUUUGGGAAUGCAGCUCAAAAUGGGUGGUAAAUUUCAUCUAAAGCUAAAUAUUGGCCAGAGACCGAUAGCGCACAAGUAGAGUGAUCGAAAGAUGAAAAGCACUUUGAAAAGAGAGUUAAACAGUAUGUGAAAUUGUUGAAAGGGAAGCGCUUGCAAUCAGACUUGAGCUUAACAGUUCCCCCUUCGUUCUCGUUGGGUUAUUCUGUUUUGUCCAGGCCAACAUCAGUUCGGGUGGUUGGUUAAAGACUUUAGGAAUGUAUUUACCCUUCGGGGUCGACUUAUAGCCUAGAGUGUCAUGCAGCCUACCUGGACUGAGGAACGCGCUUCGGCUCGGAUGUUGGCGUAAUGGUUGUAAGCGACCCGUCUUGAAACACGGACCAAGGAGUCUAACAUCUAUGCAAGUCUUUGAGUGGAAAACUCGCAGGCGUAAUGAAAGUGAACGGAGGUAAGAAGCCUUUAGGCUGCAUUAUCGACCGAUCUUGAUGUCUUCGGAUGGAUUUGAGUAAGAGCAUAGCUGUUGGGACCCGAAAGAUGGUGAACUAUGCCUGAAUAGGGUGAAGCCAGAGGAAACUCUGGUGGAGGCUCGCAGCGGUUCUGACGUGCAAAUCGAUCG